GUAGGUGAACCUGCGGAAGGAUCAUUAUCAUUUUGAUCUAAUCCUAAACAAACCGCGAACUGUUCAUUUUUGUUGUUCUUCGGAACGGCAAAAAUACCUUGAGUGCUCUAUCGGAGGAAUUUGAUUAAGGGGUGAUUCAUUUCUCUCUUUUUUCUUACUUCUCUUUUUAGAGUGCUUUUAACCAAUUGAACCAAAUUUAAUGUAUGACUGAAUUAUUCUUUUUCUUACCUAACCUAAAAAAUUAGGAAGA
This 250-nucleotide unclassified non-coding RNA is filed under the name plant metagenome. RNAcentral's name for it is "partial contains small subunit ribosomal RNA, internal transcribed spacer 1, and 5.8S ribosomal RNA". The record is from RNAcentral.